Molecule: non-coding RNA, 84 nt
Organism: Apiotrichum porosum
Lineage: Eukaryota; Fungi; Basidiomycota; Tremellomycetes; Trichosporonales; Trichosporonaceae
Source: the annotation of a RefSeq genome assembly
GACUCUUUGGCGCAGUGGUAGCGUUCUGCUUUCCGAUUCACGUCUGUUUGGCAGCGGUCCAGGGUUCGAUCCCCUGAUGAGUCU